RNAcentral lists this transfer RNA (68 nucleotides) under Camelus bactrianus (Bactrian camel). It matches the Rfam family "tRNA". From Rfam's summary of the family: Transfer RNA (tRNA) molecules are approximately 80 nucleotides in length. Their secondary structure includes four short double-helical elements and three loops (D, anti-codon, and T loops). Further hydrogen bonds mediate the characteristic L-shaped molecular structure. tRNAs have two regions of fundamental functional importance: the anti-codon, which is responsible for specific mRNA codon recognition, and the 3' end, to which the tRNAs corresponding amino acid is attached (by aminoacyl-tRNA synthetases). tRNAs cope with the degeneracy of the genetic code in two manners: having more than one tRNA (with a specific anti-codon) for a particular amino acid; and 'wobble' base-pairing, i.e. permitting non-standard base-pairing at the 3rd anti-codon position. The record is from Rfam by way of RNAcentral. Lineage: Eukaryota; Metazoa; Chordata; Mammalia; Artiodactyla; Camelidae. RNAcentral also lists the same sequence under 2 other names.
GGUGUAGCUCAGUGGUAGAGUGCCUGCUUAGCAUGCACAAGGUCCCAGGUUCAAUCCUUGGUACAUCA